GACGAACGCUUGCGGCGUGCUUAACACAUGCAAGUCGAACGGAAAGGCCCUGCUUUUGUGGGGUGCUCGAGUGGCGAACGGGUGAGUAACACGUGAGUAACCUGCCCUUGACUUUGGGAUAACUUCAGGAAACUGGGGCUAAUACCGGAUAGGAGCUCCUGCUGCAUGGUGGGGGUUGGAAAGUUUCGGCGGUUGGGGAUGGACUCGCGGCUUAUCAGCUUGUUGGUGGGGUAGUGGCUUACCAAGGCUUUGACGGGUAGCCGGCCUGAGAGGGUGACCGGCCACAUUGGGACUGAGAUACGGCCCAGACUCCUACGGGAGGCAGCAGUGGGGAAUAUUGCACAAUGGGCGGAAGCCUGAUGCAGCAACGCCGCGUGCGGGAUGACGGCCUUCGGGUUGUAAACCGCUUUCGCCUGUGACGAAGCGUGAGUGACGGUAAUGGGUAAAGAAGCACCGGCUAACUACGUGCAGCAGCCGCGGUGAUACGUAGGGUGCGAGCGUUGUCCGGAUUUAUUGGGCGUAAAGGGCUCGUAGGUGGUUGAUCGCGUCGGAAGUGUAAUCUUGGGGCUUAACCCUGAGCGUGCUUUCGAUACGGGUUGACUUGAGGAAGGUAGGGGAGAAUGGAAUUCCUGGUGGAGCGGUGGAAUGCGCAGAUAUCAGGAGGAACACCAGUGGCGAAGGCGGUUCUCUGGGCCUUUCCUGACGCUGAGGAGCGAAAGCGUGGGGAGCGAACAGGCUUAGAUACCCUGGUAGUCCACGCUGUAAACGGUGGGUACUAGGUGUGGGGUCCAUUCCACGGGUUCCGCGCCGUAGCUAACGCUUUAAGUACCCCGCCUGGGGAGUACGGCCGCAAGGCUAAAACUCAAAGGAAUUGACGGGGCCCCGCACAAGCGGCGGAGCAUGCGGAUUAAUUCGAUGCAACGCGUAGAACCUUACCUGGGUUUGACAUGGAUCGGGAGUGCUCAGAGAUGGGUGUGCCUCUUUUGGGGUCGGUUCACAGGUGGUGCAUGGCUGUCGUCAGCUCGUGUCGUGAGAUGUUGGGUUAAGUCCCGCAACGAGCGCAACCCUUGUUCACUGUUGCCAGCACGUUAUGGUGGGGACUCAGUGGAGACCGCCGGGGUCAACUCGGAGGAAGGUGGGGAUGACGUCAAGUCAUCAUGCCCCUUAUGUCCAGGGCUUCACGCAUGCUACAAUGGCUGGUACAGAGAGUGGCGAGCCUGUGAGGGUGAGCGAAUCUCGGAAAGCCGGUCUCAGUUCGGAUUGGGGUCUGCAACUCGACCUCAUGAAGUCGGAGUCGCUAGUAAUCGCAGAUCAGCAACGCCGCGGUGAAUACGUUCCCGGGGCU
This 1345-nucleotide ribosomal RNA is filed under the name uncultured bacterium. RNAcentral's name for it is "partial 16S ribosomal RNA". It matches the Rfam family "Bacterial small subunit ribosomal RNA", at positions 28 to 1381 of the family's 1533-position model. The record is from RNAcentral.